CAGCCGCCGCGGUAAUACGUAGGUGGCAAGCGUUGUCCGGAAUUAUUGGGCGUAAAGGGCUCGCAGGCGGUUUCUUAAGUCUGAUGUGAAAGCCCCCGGCUCAACCGGGGAGGGUCACUGGAAACUGGGAAACUUGAGUGCAGAAGAGGAGAGUGGAAUUCCACGUGUAGCGGUGAAAUGCGUAGAGAUGUGGAGGAACACCAGUGGCGAAGGCGACUCUCUGGUCUGUAACUGACGCUGAGGAGCGAAAGCGUGGGGAGCGAACAGGAUUAGAUACCCGCGUAGUCCCUGUCUCUUAUAC
RNAcentral lists this ribosomal RNA (301 nucleotides) under uncultured bacterium. Its description in RNAcentral is "partial 16S ribosomal RNA". It matches the Rfam family "Bacterial small subunit ribosomal RNA", at positions 509 to 807 of the family's 1533-position model. The record is from RNAcentral.